RNAcentral lists this ribosomal RNA (250 nucleotides) under uncultured bacterium. RNAcentral's name for it is "partial 16S ribosomal RNA". It matches the Rfam family "Bacterial small subunit ribosomal RNA", at positions 524 to 774 of the family's 1533-position model. The record is from RNAcentral.
UACGUAGGGGGCAAGCGUUGUCCGGAAUUAUUGGGCGUAAAGCGCGCGCAGGCGGUCUUUUAAGUCAGGUGUUUAAGCCCGGGGCUCAACCCCGGUUCGCAUCUGAAACUGGAAGGCUUGAGUGCAGAAGAGGAGAGUGGAAUUCCACGUGUAGCGGUGAAAUGCGUAGAUAUGUGGAGGAACACCAGUGGCGAAGGCGACUCUCUGGUCUGUAACUGACGCUGAGGCGCGAAAGCGUGGGGAGCAAACA